AUUCAUCCAAUCGUGCCUUCAGAUACUCUUUAUAGUUCUAGAUUUUUUAGCCAUCUGGGAUGGAGCAUCAAGAAGCUUCCUUUUAUUUGCCCCAUCUUCUAAAUUAUCAGGUGUUGUCUUCUGCUCAUCAUGAAAUGAUUCUGCAGGUAGUUUUGUCUUAGACAUCUGAUUUUGUGACCAAUUAGCUGAUUCCCUAUUGCUAACUUGUAAAGAGUUGCUUUUGCCGUUUUCUCCAAUGCUGCUAUUACCAGAGCAAGACUCCAAAAAGCGAUUAAUUGUAUCCCUGAGUGUCAUGUUUGGGAUCAGAUAAUCAGCAAGGACAUUUGUUGCUCCACAUGCACACUUCAAUUUACAGAUGAUAAGAUGGUCUCUAAUACAUUUAUCACAAAAGCUCUUGAAACAGCAUUUGCUAGUCAAUACAGCAUCUUUCAUUACUUGCUUGCACAAGGGGCAGAGAAGUUCUGGUGGAAGAUCACUAACAGACCAGGAUCUCUUUGGAGGGACGCAGCCAACAAUUUCCUUCUCAAAAGAACCAUCGUUUGGCCGCAAAACAGCUGUUGCACCACUUGGCAACGCAUAAGAGCCAUCUGGGUUUGGCAUCAGCAUCGACUUGGGAAUACCAGUAGGAGGCCUCACUCUCCUCAUAUCAUAAUUUGGAUCUCCAUUUGUUGGGCAAUGCUGAAUAAAAUGUCCAGGUACAUUGCACCUGUGACAUAUAUACCCCUCUGGAGGAGUUUUCUUCCCUAAUCCACCAAAACCAUGACCAUACAUUCUUCCAAAACCUCGAGUCCCAGAACCCGCACCAUCAGAACCUUCAAGCUGCCAGUCCAAGGCUGGAGUAUUGACUAAACCCUUAAUCUUGCUGUCCACAUCGGAUUCUGCAUCUACAAUUGACAUGCUAGACUGAACUGGCUUCAUUCUAGGAAUCGCAUAAACGUCAUCCCCAAACCCAUCACCAUAAUCAAAAUUAGAUUCUUCACUACAUUUUUUUGAGGACAAACUGGUAAGAGUACUUGCGGACACAGAACUAACACCAGUAUUUUCAGAGUUGCUUCCGAAUGAGGCAGUAACAACGGUUUCAGAGCUAGCAUUAAACGAACUAGAAUCUGUACGACAAGAGACACCAAGUGGCUGUUGCUUUUCAAUAACAACAACAGUUGCAGUGUCAUAAGGCUUGCGACGACGCGUUCCAGGAACACGGCGAAUCAAGACACUAGUGUUAUUAGGAAUCAACAUAUCAUCAACAUAACAAUCAUUAGUCUGGGAAUUAAUGACCAAAAGAUCCAAAUCAGUACCCAAACACAGCCCAUUAGAAUCAGUCUUAUAAGAUUUAUACUUAUAUUCAAAAAUUUUCCGUUUUAAAUCAUAGACGGAAAUAACAGAGGCAUCCACAGGGAUGGAAUCAUACUCUUUGGUACUGAGAAAUUUAAAAUAUAUUGGCAUUGAAUUGAAUAGUAAUGAAAGAAUAUACGAACAAGAGACAGAAAUUGCUAAUUCAAUCGUACACAAUAGUAUACAAGAGGAUCAAUAUGAUCAAAAUACGAUCUAAAUUGCGAAUUGCAUACAAAGGGUCUGUAAAAUUGAAACUCAAACCCCAAGUGAUGUACGCCAAUCUGCAGGAUGGUCGACUUCUAUUGCAAAUUUCAAGCGUUGCUGAUCUUAAAUUUGCCAGCGCAAGGUUUUUCCGAUACGGUAAGCUUCUAAUUCUUCAAUCGCCGCCAGCGUCGCCAAAGUUCUCCAAAUCCUCGAUCAAGACCGCCAAAAUAUUCCCAAUCAGCGUUGGAGCAAUGAUUUCUCCGAUACAGAGAGAGAGAGAAGAAGGAGCUUAAGAAAUGAUCCCUGUGAAAGAAGGAUAUUUAUAGAACAGGGACACGAAAACGCGUGACGUGCAAGCGUAGCCAGCCUAGACGGUUUUAUUGACUAUUUAACACCGUGGAAAAAGUCUUUAUAAUAGAAAUUUAUUCUUGGAGAAUUACUAUCAUAUUUUUUUCAAAAAUUUAUUAAUUUAUUCUUAUUUUAAUAUCAAUUAAUUAAAACGUUCAAUUAAAAUUUUUAAUUAUUUUAUUAUAAAAAUCUUUAAAUAAUUUAUUUUAAUUUUAAAUUAAAUUUAAAAAUUUAUAAUAAUAAUUUAUAAUAUCAUAGAUACUUCCUCUUGUUGCUUCACCUACAAGAAAGUGCCAUCUUCCGUCGGUGCUUAUGUUUCAUGAUAUUAUUCUAAUGAGAUCAGGAAUUUUUAACCUUCUUUUUCUUUUUCUUUUUUUAUUAUAUUAUAUAGCCGUUUUGAUUUAGGAGUUUUUUUUUUUUUUAUUGAGAUUCCAAAGAAAAUUUAAUUACAUGAUUACCUACCAAAUAUCACAUGAAUGUAACUUGCAAAUGCGAUACGCAUUGAAAGAACAACAGAAAUAGAAUAAGCAACAAAUAUUGGGCAAUAAUGGGAAUUUUAUUAAAGUAUCAACCCAGCAAUUAAAAUUUACAGGUCUAAAACUACAACCAUCUUCACCUACUCGACCUUAGGUUACUACCCAAUUAUACGUAUUAGCCCUGAAAGAAACUAGAGAAGAAGAAUGAUUGCGGUUACUCAUUGUCCGAGCUUUGCAUCAACAGCUUCAUUGCCUGCGACCCAUUUGCUGCAUACUGAAACAGGCUCCAUUCAUCACACCAUUGAAUGCUGUGCCGAAGGGGCUCAGCCCGUAAUUCAUUGCACCACCAGCAUAACAAGGUGCCACAUAUCCUUCCAUCCCCACCUGCACGCCAGCCCAGUAUGGAUUAUAUGCAUAAGAUCCAACAGGCAUCAAGUACCCUUCACACUCCUCAUCAUAAUUUUUCUUGCCUCUCCUUUUCUUUCCUCCCUUAACAGAAACCAACUUCUGCUGAACUUUAUCCUCAACCACUUCCUUCUCUUUAUUUCCUUUUCCUCCCUCACUAGAGAACACCAAAACACUUCCUUGUGAUUGUGAUGCCGUAUCGUUCAUUCUCGUUGAUCCAAUCGCGCCUUCAGAUACUCCUGUAGUUCUAGCUUUUUUAGUCAUCUGGGAUGGAGCAUCAAGAAGCUUCCUUUUAUUUGCCCCAUCUUCUAAAUUAUCAAGUGUUGUCUUCUGCUCAUCAUGAAAUGAUUCUGCAGGUAGUUUUGUCUUAGACAUCUGAUCUUGUGACCAAUUAGCUGAUUCCCUAUUGCUAACUUGUGAAGAGUUGCUUUUGGCGUUUUCUCCAAUACUGCUAUUACCAGAACAAGACUCCGAAAAGCGAUUAAUUGUAUCCCUGAGUGUCAUG
Molecule: long non-coding RNA, 3270 nt
Filed under: Manihot esculenta (cassava)
Lineage: Eukaryota; Viridiplantae; Streptophyta; Magnoliopsida; Malpighiales; Euphorbiaceae
Description: long non-coding RNA (MESC_LNC009902)
Source: RNAcentral